Molecule: long non-coding RNA, 558 nt
Filed under: Mytilus galloprovincialis (Mediterranean mussel)
Lineage: Eukaryota; Metazoa; Mollusca; Bivalvia; Mytilida; Mytilidae
Source: RNAcentral
GACAUUUAAGCUCUUAAACUACAAUAUUCUGCAAAUAAAAACUCCGUUUCCAAGGAAAAAAUCGGUUGCUAUGGUGAUAAAACUUGAAAAAAUCCCACGCAUUUCACUAUUUAAUUUGGUAAAGAAGUAUCCAAACUUCAUAACUACAGUGCUAACUAUUCUGUACACAUUUGCACUUUUCUGAAAAACACCAGAGAAAAUUUGAUAAUUCAGCAAAAAUCCCAAUUUCAGAAAAGUUGAAAAUAAGCAUUUUUUCGCAAAAUUUUUCAAAAAAUUUACAAAUUUGGUUGACAUGCAAUCUUCACUAAAAUGAAGCUUAAACCAAGUUCUAUCAAUGUUACAUAUGAAAAUUAAUGAAAAAUGCAUGAUUCUAUUCAUAAUCAGGCUCUGAAUUGUGGUGAUUUAGCUGAUUUUUGAAAGAUUUUACCACGCUUAACAACCAAAAAAUAGAGUGUCCGUUACCAUGGCAACCACUCAUAUUUUCCCACUCAUAAUUAUUUUUGAAGCAGUAUUCAUUUAUUGCUUCUACUAGGCUAAUUAUAGAAAAAAUCUGAAACC